RNAcentral lists this ribosomal RNA (1204 nucleotides) under Escherichia coli. RNAcentral's name for it is "partial 23S ribosomal RNA". It matches the Rfam family "Bacterial large subunit ribosomal RNA", at positions 1 to 1238 of the family's 2925-position model. The record is from RNAcentral. Lineage: Bacteria; Pseudomonadati; Pseudomonadota; Gammaproteobacteria; Enterobacterales; Enterobacteriaceae.
GGGUUGUGAGGUUAAGCGACUAAGCGUACACGGUGGAUGCCCUGGCAGUCAGAGGCGAUGAAGGACGUGCUAAUCUGCGAUAAGCGUCGGUGAGGUGAUAUGAACCGUUAUAACCGGCGAUUUCCGAAUGGGGAAACCCAGUGUGUUUCGACACACUAUCAUUAACUGAAUCCAUAGGUUAAUGAGGCGAACCGGGGGAACUGAAACAUCUAAGUACCCCGAGGAAAAGAAAUCAACCGAGAUUCCCCAAGUAGCGGCGAGCGAACGGGGAGGAGCCCAGAGCCUGAAUCAGUGUGUGUGUUAGUGGAAGCGUCUGGAAAGGCGCGCGAUACAGGGUGACAGCCCCGUACACAAAAAUGCACAUACUGUGAGCUCGAUGAGUAGGGCGGGACACGUGGUAUCCUGUCUGAAUAUGGGGGGACCAUCCUCCAAGGCUAAAUACUCCUGACUGACCGAUAGUGAACCAGUACCGUGAGGGAAAGGCGAAAAGAACCCCGGCGAGGGGAGUGAAAAAGAACCUGAAACCGUGUACGUACAAGCAGUGGGAGCCUCUUAAUGGGGUGACUGCGUACCUUUUGUAUAAUGGGUCAGCGACUUAUAUUCUGUAGCAAGGUUAACCGAAUAGGGGAGCCGAAGGGAAACCGAGUCUUAACUGGGCGUUAAGUUGCAGGGUAUAGACCCGAAACCCGGUGAUCUAGCCAUGGGCAGGUUGAAGGUUGGGUAACACUAACUGGAGGACCGAACCGACUAAUGUUGAAAAAUUAGCGGAUGACUUGUGGCUGGGGGUGAAAGGCCAAUCAAACCGGGAGAUAGCUGGUUCUCCCCGAAAGCUAUUUAGGUAGCGCCUCGUGAAUUCAUCUCCGGGGGUAGAGCACUGUUUCGGCAAGGGGGUCAUCCCGACUUACCAACCCGAUGCAAACUGCGAAUACCGGAGAAUGUUAUCACGGGAGACACACGGCGGGUGCUAACGUCCGUCGUGAAGAGGGAAACAACCCAGACCGCCAGCUAAGGUCCCAAAGUCAUGGUUAAGUGGGAAACGAUGUGGGAAGGCCCAGACAGCCAGGAUGUUGGCUUAGAAGCAGCCAUCAUUUAAAGAAAGCGUAAUAGCUCACUGGUCGAGUCGGCCUGCGCGGAAGAUGUAACGGGGCUAAACCAUGCACCGAAGCUGCGGCAGCGACACUAUGUGUUGUUGGGUAGGGGAGCG